CUCGCUGUGAAGAUGCAGUGUACCCGCGGCAAGACGGAAAGACCCCGUGAACCUUUACUAUAGCUUGACACUGAACACUGGUCCUUGAUGUGUAGGAUAGGUGGGAGGCUUUGAAGCGUGGACGCCAGUCUGCGUGGAGCCGACCUUGAAAUACCACCCUUUAAUGGCUGGUGUUCUAACGUAGACCCGUAAUCCGGGUUGCGGACAGUGUCUGGUGGGUAGUUUGACUGGGGCGGUCUCCUCCUAAAGCGUAACGGAGG
RNAcentral lists this ribosomal RNA (260 nucleotides) under Mesorhizobium sp. RNAcentral's name for it is "partial 23S ribosomal RNA". It matches the Rfam family "Bacterial large subunit ribosomal RNA", at positions 2048 to 2306 of the family's 2925-position model. Lineage: Bacteria; Pseudomonadati; Pseudomonadota; Alphaproteobacteria; Hyphomicrobiales; Phyllobacteriaceae. The record is from RNAcentral.